AAGUCGUAACAAGGUUUCCGUAGGUGAACCUGCGGAAGGAUCAUUACAAAUCUUUGUGGAUAGCUUGGUGUGCAUUUAUUGUAUGCCAAGUUUGAAACACAUAUGCACAAGGCACGCGUAAAGCCCCUCUAGGUGUUUUAUGUGUUGCUUUGAUGUUCACGCUUGUUUGUUUGACAGAGUUAUGGUAACAUUUUAAAUAAAGACAACUUUUAACAACGGAUCUCUUGGCUCUUGCAACGAUGAAGAACGCAGUAAAGUGCGAUAUGUAGUGCGAUUUGCAUGAAUCUGUGAGUCAUCUAAUCCUUGAACGCAACUUGCGCCUCUUUUGAGGCAUGUUUGUUUGAGUGCCGCAUACCUUUAUGCAGCAAUGCGAUUUGAUUCAUGUCUCUGGACUGAAUCUAAAUAUAGCCAGAUGGUGGUCAGUGUGACUAGCCCGAGUGCUAAGCAUUCUUGGAACUAGUUGUACAGCCAUUAAUUAUCUUUUUAUAUUUGGCCUCAAAUCAAGCAAGACUACCCGCUGAACUUAAGCAUAUCAGUAAGCGGAGGAAAAGAAACUAACGAGGAUUCCCCUAGUAACGGCGAGUGAAGCGGGAAAAGCUCAAAUUUAAAAUCUCAGUGUUCUUGCACUGCGAAUUGUAGUCUAAAGAAUGGUGAUCUAGGGUUGGUCAAGUGCUCAAGUCCCUUGGAAAAGGGCGCCAGAGAGGGUGAGAGCCCCGUAACAGCAUUUGUCCUUCCUCAAGUGAGAUCCUUUCUACGAGUCGAGUUGCUUGGGAAUGCAGCUCAAAGUGGGUGGUAAAUCUCAUCUAAGGCUAAAUAUUGGCAAGAGACCGAUAGCGAACAAGUACCGUGAGGGAAAGAUGAAAAGCACCUUGAAAAGGGAGUUAAAUAGUGCGUGAAAUUGUUAAAAGGGAAACGAUAGAGAUUAGUGUUGGUAUGUGCUUCAAUUAGAUGCUUCGGUGUCUAAAGCGAGCAUGCAUCGAGUCAAUGCCAGUUGUGGCUGUCGGAUACGAUUCAGAGAAAGGUGGGGUCAAACUUUGUUAGGCUCUUUAUAGUCUCUGUCUUCUGCGACCGCUGCGACUGGAAGCCUAGGACCGCUAGCUGACUAAUGGGGAAUGGUAGGUAGACAACUUGUUGACUAUCUGCUCUCACUCUUUACGAAGCAAAGCCUACUUGGGCGCCUUUGACGAAAUAGUCUUUGACGACC
RNAcentral lists this ribosomal RNA (1204 nucleotides) under uncultured fungus. RNAcentral describes it as "eukaryotic LSU rRNA". The stretch from base 491 to 1204 matches the Rfam family "Eukaryotic large subunit ribosomal RNA", at positions 1 to 649 of the family's 3401-position model. The record is from RNAcentral. Lineage: Eukaryota; Fungi.